Stemphylium lycopersici is the source of this 121-nucleotide non-coding RNA. The record is from Rfam. NCBI's taxonomy places the organism in Eukaryota, Fungi, Ascomycota, Dothideomycetes, Pleosporales, Pleosporaceae.
ACAUACGACCACAGGUAAAGGCAAUACUCUGGAUCCCGUCCGCUCUCCAUACGAUAAACCUUUGACCGGCGGAUUAGUAGUUAGGUGGGUGACCACUGGCGAAUCCCCGCUGUCGUAUGUU